Molecule: ribosomal RNA, 358 nt
Filed under: uncultured bacterium
Lineage: Bacteria
Description: partial 16S ribosomal RNA
Rfam family: Bacterial small subunit ribosomal RNA
Source: RNAcentral
CCUACGGUAUGCAGCAGUGAGGAAUAUUGGUCAAUGGGCGUAAGCCUGAACCAGUCAAGUCGCGUGAGGGAUUAAGGUUCUAUGUAUCGUAAACCUCUUUUAUACGGGCAUAAAGUGCGGGACUUUUCCCGUUUUGUAUUUACCUUAUGAAUAAGGAUCGGCUAACUCCGUGCCAGCAGCCGCGGUAAUACGGAGGAUCCGAGCGUUAUCCGGAUUUAUUGGGUUUAAGGGGUGCGUAGGCGGCCUUUUAAGUCAGCGGUGAAAGUCUGUGGCUCAACCAUAGAAUUGCCGUUGAAACAGGGAGGCUUGGUUAUGUUGGAGGCAGGCGGAAUGCGUGGUGUAGCGGUGAAAUGCUUGG